Molecule: transfer RNA, 76 nt
Filed under: Clostridiales bacterium
Lineage: Bacteria; Bacillati; Bacillota; Clostridia; Eubacteriales
Also listed under: 1 other name
Description: tRNA-Ala
Rfam family: tRNA
About the family: Transfer RNA (tRNA) molecules are approximately 80 nucleotides in length. Their secondary structure includes four short double-helical elements and three loops (D, anti-codon, and T loops). Further hydrogen bonds mediate the characteristic L-shaped molecular structure. tRNAs have two regions of fundamental functional importance: the anti-codon, which is responsible for specific mRNA codon recognition, and the 3' end, to which the tRNAs corresponding amino acid is attached (by aminoacyl-tRNA synthetases). tRNAs cope with the degeneracy of the genetic code in two manners: having more than one tRNA (with a specific anti-codon) for a particular amino acid; and 'wobble' base-pairing, i.e. permitting non-standard base-pairing at the 3rd anti-codon position.
Source: RNAcentral
GGGGGUGUAGCUCAGCUGGGAGAGCAUUACGUUCGCAACGUAGGGGUCGAGGGUUCGAAUCCCUUCAUCUCCACCA